This is a long non-coding RNA of Carassius auratus (goldfish), 369 nucleotides long. RefSeq lists it as uncharacterized. The transcript is spliced from 3 exons. NCBI's taxonomy places the organism in Eukaryota, Metazoa, Chordata, Actinopteri, Cypriniformes, Cyprinidae. The record is from RefSeq and is a predicted model, not a curated record.
AUAAAAUCCUGGGGUUCUUCUGCUCUUGUCCUCUUCUUGUUCAGGUCAUUCUGAAAGCUACAAGAUCCUUGUUUUGGCAAAAACCUGUUACAACAGUUGUUGCAAUUCUUACAUCACUAGCAUUGUGAUUUCUCUUACAGAAAGAGAACAGCCAUGGUGAUCUACACAGUGACGGUGUACACAGGAAAGGGUCUUCUGGCGGGCACCACUAGCCGGAUCUCCAUCCAGCUGCGCGGCGCUGAGGCUGAGAGCGAGGAACAGAGUCUAAACCACAUUCAGGGGUUAUGGCAAGCAUCGGUAAGGGCAUCAAACCAACAGGAAGGAGUUUUAGACUAAAAACCAUCAGUCAACGCUAUUUAAUUAAAGAUA